RNAcentral lists this ribosomal RNA (329 nucleotides) under uncultured eukaryote. RNAcentral's name for it is "partial 18S ribosomal RNA". It matches the Rfam family "Eukaryotic small subunit ribosomal RNA", at positions 1470 to 1796 of the family's 1831-position model. The record is from RNAcentral.
CCCUUAGAUGUCCUGGGCCGCACGCGCGCUACACUGAGUGUCUGAGAUACGAGUCUGCCUGGUCCGGCAAGGUCUAGGUAAUCGCUAAAAGACACAUCAUGCUUGGGAUAGAUUAUUGCAAAUAUUAAUCUUGAACGAGGAAUUCCUAGUAAGCGCAAGUCAACAGCUUGCGUUGAUUACGUCCCUGCCCUUUGUAUACACCGCCCGUCGCUACUACUGAUUGGAUGUUUAAGCGAGGUUCUCGAACUGCUAGCGACUUAGCUUCGGUGAGGUCGCAGUGUGGGAAGUGAACCUAGCUUUGGUGUCUAGAGGAAGUAAAAGUCGUAACA